Molecule: microRNA precursor, 74 nt
Filed under: Anopheles maculatus
Lineage: Eukaryota; Metazoa; Arthropoda; Insecta; Diptera; Culicidae
Description: mir-7 microRNA precursor
Source: RNAcentral
CGAUUGAUGGAUGUUGAAAAGCGAGGGAUUUUUUUAGCUAAAAAAAUCCCUCGCUUUUCAACAUCCAUCAAUCG